RNAcentral lists this unclassified non-coding RNA (307 nucleotides) under uncultured fungus. RNAcentral describes it as "partial contains small subunit ribosomal RNA, internal transcribed spacer 1, and 5.8S ribosomal RNA". The stretch from base 1 to 73 matches the Rfam family "Eukaryotic small subunit ribosomal RNA", at positions 1759 to 1831 of the family's 1831-position model. The record is from RNAcentral. Lineage: Eukaryota; Fungi.
UCAAACUUGGUCAUUUAGAGGAAGUACAAGUCGUAACAAGGUUUCCGUAGGUGAACCUGCGGAAGGAUCAUUACCAAUAACUAGAUGCCGUGUGGCAACACGCGGCGUUCUAACACAUUGUGAACAUGUAACUGCUUUGGCGUGCGCGUGGCGGCGCCGGGGGAGCCUUUGGCAGAGGGACAGCCAUUGUCCGCACACUCUGCCAGAGGAACACAUUAACCUUUGUAACCUAUAUUCUUAAAAGCACAAAACAUAUACAACCUUUAACAAUGGAUCUCUUGGUUCCUGCAUCGAUGAAGAACGCAGC